RNAcentral lists this ribosomal RNA (254 nucleotides) under uncultured prokaryote. RNAcentral's name for it is "partial 16S ribosomal RNA". It matches the Rfam family "Bacterial small subunit ribosomal RNA", at positions 524 to 776 of the family's 1533-position model. The record is from RNAcentral.
UACGGGGGGAGCAAGCGUUGUUCGGAUUUACUGGGCGUAAAGGGCGUGUAGGCGGCCACCGCAAGUCGGUUGUGAAAUCUCCGGGCUUAACCCGGAAAGGUCAACCGAUACUGCGGGGCUAGAGUGCAGAAGGGGCAACUGGAAUUCUCGGUGUAGCGGUGAAAUGCGUAGAUAUUGGAAGGAACACCAGUGGCGAAGGCGACUAUCUGGAUAGAUACUGACACUGAGACACGAAAGCGUGGGGAGCAAACAGG